Molecule: non-coding RNA, 1984 nt
Organism: Bubalus bubalis (water buffalo)
Lineage: Eukaryota; Metazoa; Chordata; Mammalia; Artiodactyla; Bovidae
Source: the annotation of a RefSeq genome assembly
AUGGAGAAAUUCAACCUGCGUUUCUACUCCACAGCAGUUGCCAGGGUGGCCUCAGGGACAGUGAUGGUUGUGCCCGUUGCCCUGUCCCUUCCUGGCCAUCACACGACCACCGUGCAUGCCAAGGGCUCACCAAGGCAGCUCGUGGCAUUGAGGAGAGAGGCCAUGACCCAGCAGCAGAGGCUGAGGGGGGUCAGAAGGUGGAGCAGAACUGGUCGCUGGAGAGGUCAGGAGGUGGAGCACAGCUGCUCGCUGGAGGGGUCCCUGGAGGGGUCAGGAGGUGAGAAAAGGACCCAGAAGAAGCCAUCUAUCCCUCAAGGCUGGAGCAGAGUCCCAGUGUUCCCUGAGCCAGACCACCCCACCUCAGCUCCACAGCCCACCCCAGCCUCCAUCCAGCCUCCAUCCAUCUACCCCUUGAGGCUCUGUUGCACAGAAGAAGCCCGUGUGAGGCUGGGCUGCCUGGUCAAGGACUACUUCCCAGGGUCAGUGACUGUGACCUGGGACACAGUGCCCCUGGACGGGAGCACCCUGACCUUCCCUAGCAUCCAAAUGUCGAGCUCCAGUCUCUACACUACCACCAGCCAUCUGACCAUCUCGGGCGAGCAGUCCAAGCAGUUCACCUGCAGAGUUUUACACGCUGAGACCAACUCCAACUUGAAUAAGACCGUCAGCACUGAGUGCACCAAGAACUUCAGUGACCCCUCAGUGAAGCUCUUCUACUCCUCCUGCAACCCCAAUGGCGACACCCAAACCACCAUCCACCUCCUGUGCCGGAUCUCCGGCUACACCCCAGGCAAAAUCAAGGUCACCUGGCUGGUGGAUGGGGUCAAGUCCGAAGAGCUGCAUGCACGAUCCGGCCCCGAGAUACAGGAGGGCAAUCUGACUUCCACCUACAGUGAAGUCAACAUCACACAGGGCCAGUGGGUGUCUGAGAAAACCUACACCUGCCAGGUCAACUAUUACGGCUUCAACUUCGAAAGCCACGCCCACAGGUGCACAGCCGAGUCCGAGCCCCGCGGCGUGAGCGCCUACCUGAGCCCACCCACCCCCCUCGAGCUGUACGUUAACAAGUCACCCAAGAUCACCUGCCUGGUUGUGGACCUGGCCAACGAGAAGAACUUGAGCCUGACCUGGUCGAGGGCAAAUGGGAAGCCUGUGCACGCAGGCCCCCCUGAGAUCAAGCGUCAGUUCAAUGGGACGGUCACCGUCACGUCCACCCUGCCGGUGGACGUCACUGACUGGGUAGAAGGCGAGACCUACUACUGCAAAGUGAGCCACAGCGACCUGCCCACGGACAUCCAGCGAUCCAUCUCCAAGGAUGUUGGCAAGCGUCUGGCCCCCAAGGCCUACGUGUUCUUGCCAGACGGAAAGGAGCUGGAGAAUGAGGAGGAGCUCACCCUCACCUGCAUGAUCCAGAAAUUCUUCCCCAGGGACAUCUUUGUGCGGUGGCUGCAUAACAAGGAACUGAUGCGGGCAGACCAGCACACCACCACACAACCCCACAGGGCCGACAACAACACCCCAGCCUUCUUCGCCUACAGCCGCCUGGCGGUCCCUAAGGCCAACUGGAAGAGGGGCGAUGAGUUCACCUGCCAAGUGAUCCACGAGGCACUGCCCAGGACUAGGACCCUGGAGAAAUCGGUGUUCAUUAACAGCGGUAAAUAAUGCCCGGCCUCCUGCCCGCCCCUCUCCAGGGGCAGGGGAGGGGCCAGUGGGACCUUCUGUCCACUGUCAAUAAACACUCUGGUGCCUGCUCAGAGCCCUGGGCAUGCCUGUUCUUGGGGCUCGUGGGCUGUGGGUCAGGGUGGUGGGGGGGAUGUCCCGGCACAGAAGAAGGGAAGGCUUGGCAGGUAGACAGGGCUGAGGCAGGGCUCUGUCCAGCAUCACUCUCCAUGUCGAGGCCCUCCCCCUACCCCGCUAUGAAUUCUGCCGACUCAGCAAGUUCUAAGAGCCAGAGGGUGGUCUUAGGGGAGGGACCACAGAGACC